ACCUGACUGCUAUCGGAUUGAUACUAAGCCAUGCGAGUCAUUGUAGCAAUACAAGGCAUACGGCUCAGUAACGCGUAGUCAACCUAACCUAUGGACGGGAAUAACCUCGGGAAACUGAGAAUAAUGCCCGAUAGAACACUAUACCUGGAAUGGUUUGUGUUCCAAAUGAUUUAUCGCCAUAGGAUGGGACUGCGGCCUAUCAGUUUGUUGGUGAGGUAAUGGCCCACCAAGACUAUUACAGGUACGGGCUCUGAGAGGAGUAGCCCGGAGAUGGGUACUGAGACACGGACCCAGGCCCUAUGGGGCGCAGCAGGCGAGAAAACUUUGCAAUGUGCGAAAGCACGACAAGGUUAAUCCGAGUGAUUUGUGCUAAACGAAUCUUUUGUUAGUCCUAGAAACACUAACGAAUAAGGGGUGGGCAAGUUCUGGUGUCAGCCGCCGCGGUAAAACCAGCCCCUCAAGUGGUCAGGAUGAUUAUUGGGCCUAAAGCAUCCGUAGCCGGCUCUGUAAGUUUUCGGUUAAAUCUGUACGCUUAACGUACAGGCUGCCGGGAAUACUGCAAAGCUAGGGAGUGGGAGAGGUAGACGGUACUCGGUAGGAAGUGGUAAAAUGCUUUGAUCUAUCGAUGACCACCUGUGGCGAAGGCGGUCUACCAGAACACGUCCGACGGUGAGGGAUGAAAGCUGGGGGAGCAAACCGGAUUAGAUACCCGGGUAGUCCCAGCUGUAAACUAUGCAAACUCAGUGAUGCAUUGGCUUGUGGCCAAUGCAGUGCUGCAGGGAAGCCGUUAAGUUUGCCGCCUGGGAAGUACGUACGCAAGUAUGAAACUUAAAGGAAUUGGCGGGGGAGCACCACAAGGGGUGAAGCCUGCGGUUC
Molecule: ribosomal RNA, 876 nt
Filed under: uncultured crenarchaeote
Lineage: Archaea; Thermoproteati; Thermoproteota
Description: bacterial SSU rRNA
Rfam family: Archaeal small subunit ribosomal RNA
Source: RNAcentral